GACGAACGCUGGCGGCGUGCUUAACACAUGCAAGUCGAACGGUGAAGCUCCAGCUUGCUGGAGUGGAUCAGUGGCGAACGGGUGAGUAACACGUGAGCAACAUGCCCCAGACUCUGGAAUAAGCGCUGGAAACGGCGUCUAAUACUGGAUACGAGAUCAAGCCGCAUGGUUAUGGUCUGGAAAGUUUUUCGGUUUGGGAUGGGCUCGCGGCCUAUCAGCUUGUUGGUGAGGUAAUGGCUCACCAAGGCGACGACGGGUAGCCGGCCUGAGAGGGCGACCGGCCACACUGGGACUGAGACACGGCCCAGACUCCUACGGGAGGCAGCAGUGGGGAAUAUUGCACAAUGGGCGAAAGCCUGAUGCAGCGACGCCGCGUGAGGGAUGACGGCCUUCGGGUUGUAAACCUCUUUCAGCAGGGAAGAAGCGAAAGUGACGGUACCUGCAGAAGAAGCACCGGCUAACUACGUG
Molecule: ribosomal RNA, 468 nt
Filed under: uncultured bacterium
Lineage: Bacteria
Description: partial 16S ribosomal RNA
Rfam family: Bacterial small subunit ribosomal RNA
Source: RNAcentral